AUUAAACAAUAGAUCAGAUCUAUUACCUUGUGAUUUAGAUGCUCUAACCUCGUUGAUCUGGGCUUAAGGAUGAUGUUGCAAGCCGCACAUGCGUCCGGCCUCUAAGAGUCGUCCACACAAGCCCACGAAUCUCGAUCAGAAGUCCUGCUUCAGAAAAUCAGCACAGUAUGCUAGUACUGCGCUGAUCCUUCUUUGAUGGUUGAUCAGGU
This 209-nucleotide long non-coding RNA is filed under the name Elaeis guineensis (African oil palm). RNAcentral describes it as "long non-coding RNA (EGUI_LNC076832)". Lineage: Eukaryota; Viridiplantae; Streptophyta; Magnoliopsida; Arecales; Arecaceae. The record is from RNAcentral.